CCCUUCAGCGUGCACUUGUCGAGCAUCGUAGAAAGCAAACCCGACUUUUGUUCUAGAGAUCUCUUCGACGACAAACCCAUGUUGCUCCAGAGCUCUUCAACGACAAAGUCGAUUCGGCGCCUCACCGUCGCACACCUCGCCUUCCCCUCGUCGUCGCACACCUCGCCUUACCUCGCCGCCGCACACCUCGCCUUACCUCGCCGCCGCACUCCUUACCAGAACUUGAAUCAAUGGUAACGUGCCAAUUGUAUAUAUUUUUUGUCGAUUUUUAUCAUUAUUCUGGAAAUUAGGGUUUGAUCUAAAUUUGGUGUGGCUGUGCUUCAGCCAAAACUCACGGAUUAGGCUGAGAUUGAGAUAUAUGGGAGGAUUUGUCGACGGAUUUCGGGGAGAGAGGCGUGGGAUGGCAGGGAGGGGAAGGGAGAGGGAGGAGUGAGGCUGCCAAAAAGGGGUUAGGGUUGAUUUUCUCUCCUCAAAUCAAUUGUUGGUGUCGGUGAUUGAACGAUCAUUGGUUAGAGGGGAACUUUCAUUAACUUUGUUUCGGAACCGGAAUGGGGUCGAUGGGACCAUGCUCUGUUGCACGUUCAGAUGAGUGAUUUCAGGGAUUUGGGGUAGGGAGAGUGAUUUCAGGGAUUGGUAAUCCCAUCCCGUGUUUUCCCCUCAUCUCUGUCACACUCAACCUCUCUCUAAUCCUUUCUCUUUCACUCUCUUUCAGACUCUUCCUUUCUCCCAACUCUCCAUCUCUCAACUUUAGUGCUAACCCUAAUUUGUUCUUUCAUUCCUCAAUUUUCUCCAUCCGAGCAAUGAAAAAUCGAACUGGGUUUUCAGAUUAUUGAUGCUUCACGGACAGAGAAUGACCAGAUGAAAAAAGAGGGAAACAUGGAUUAUAUAUGCACGAAGGGCACCACAACAAAUGUGUGAAUCUUCCUGCACCACCAGUCUCCGCAACGUUUUCCAAAACCCGCUUGACCGAAGGACAAGGAGUUGGACCCUGGAUCUAACGACUUUCUGGAAGCUCUACAAAUCAAUCUUCCUUUAUUUUCUAACCCAGCGUCCUUUCAUUUCAUCUUCGUUCUGGAGCCCUCCCUGUUUUCCACAUCUCCUCUCACACUACCUAAAGCCGAAACCAAACCCAGCUAUGCAGGAAUCAAAUCACAAGUCUCCGACACCCACAAAGUGGUGCAUAUCUCGAUUGACAAGGAUGAACAGAAGCGGAUAUAACAACAGUGAGACCAAUAUGAGAUCCAACAGAAAAAAAAAAAUAGCGGCGGAGAAGCCGAGGGCUACGGAUUCAAAAGGAAAAGGUAUGAGCCCUGGCUCUGUACUAAUAUUGACUUGGAUUAGAUGAAUUUUUGAGUUCUUUGCAUCCGUGAAUGAAGUUUGUGAUCUCUGUGUGAUCUCAUUCACUGAUCCCUGGAUCUUGAAUUUGUCUAAUAUGCUCAUGGAUGUGCUCUGUUUGUUGUCAUGUACAAAUUGGUGAAUGUUGAACAAAAUGCUUGCAUGUUGGAUCUGUGAUUUGGGCUUGAACAAAAGUACCUCUGUGCUGCCUGGAUCCUCCACUCCCAAACUUAGAAUGAAAGUCUGCUUGAAUCAGGACUUAUCGAAUCAAGGCAGCUGCAAGGAAAUUUGAGCUUUGGCAUGUAUAGAUACGAUUUUGCAACGAAGCUAGAUGCCAUCAAAUAGGCAAAAUCAUAUCGGCUACAAAGUGCAAUGAAUGUUAUAGGUUACUAAGUUUCGCCAUAUGCCUUCAUUGUGGCAUUGCCCUAUCUGUCGACAAUUUGCUUCACAAACCUCAACGGUUAGCUUCCAUACAAUAUGAUGCAAGUUUGAGGAUAUCUCUACAUCUUAAUUUAUGCUCUCUGGUUGCUUCAAGUUUGUAAUUUUAAGUGCUACACUGCCACUUGAUUUGAUUAUAAAAAUGUAAAACAAAAUCCAUCAAUGAUUUACAAAUUUGUAUUCGAUUUUU
Malus domestica (apple) is the source of this 1963-nucleotide non-coding RNA. NCBI's taxonomy places the organism in Eukaryota, Viridiplantae, Streptophyta, Magnoliopsida, Rosales, Rosaceae. The record is from RefSeq and is a predicted model, not a curated record.